UACGAAGGGGGCGAGCGUUGUUCGGAUUUACUGGGCGUAAAGGGCGCGUAGGCGGCGCCGGAAGUCAGGCGUGAAAGCCCCGGGCUCAACCUGGGAACGGCGCUUGGGACUCUGGUGCUUGAGUUCGGGAGAGGAGCGUGGAAUUCCCAGUGUAGAGGUGAAAUUCGUAGAUAUUGGGAGGAACACCGGUGGCGAAGGCGGCCCCCUGGACCGGUACUGACGCUGAGGCGCGAAAGCGUGGGUAGCAAACGGG
Molecule: ribosomal RNA, 253 nt
Filed under: uncultured bacterium
Lineage: Bacteria
Description: partial 16S ribosomal RNA
Rfam family: Bacterial small subunit ribosomal RNA
Source: RNAcentral